Molecule: ribosomal RNA, 371 nt
Filed under: uncultured bacterium
Lineage: Bacteria
Description: bacterial SSU rRNA
Rfam family: Bacterial small subunit ribosomal RNA
Source: RNAcentral
GGAGGGUGCAAGCGUUGUUCGGAAUUACUGGGCGUAAAGCGCGUGUAGGCGGCCUUGUAAGCCGGACGUGAAAGCCCUCGGCUUAACCGGGGAAGUGCGUCUGGAACUGCAUGGCUUGAGUACGGGAGAGGGAGGCGGAAUUCCCAGUGUAGAGGUGAAAUUCGUAGAUAUUGGGAGGAACACCGGUGGCGAAAGCGGCCUCCUGGACCGAUACUGACGCUGAGACGCAAAAGCGUGGGGAGCAAACAGGAUUAGAUACCCUGGUAGUCCACGCUGUAAACGAUGGGCACUAGGUGUGGGGGGUAUCCACUCCUCCCGUGCCGAAGCUAACGCAUUAAGUGCCCCGCCUGGGGAGUACGGCCGCAAGGUUA